UCCAGGCAAAUCCGGAUAAUCAAGGCUGAGGUGUGAUGACGAGGCACUACGGUGCUGAAGUAACAAAUGCCCUGCUUCCAGGAAAAGCCUCUAAGCAUCAGGUAACAUUAAAUCGUACCCCAAACCGACACAGGUGGUCAGGUAGAGAAUACCAAGGCGCUUGAGAGAACUCGGGUGAAGGAACUAGGCAAAAUGGUGCCGUAACUUCGGGAGAAGGCAC
This 220-nucleotide ribosomal RNA is filed under the name Klebsiella pneumoniae. RNAcentral's name for it is "partial 23S ribosomal RNA". It matches the Rfam family "Bacterial large subunit ribosomal RNA", at positions 1531 to 1749 of the family's 2925-position model. The record is from RNAcentral. Lineage: Bacteria; Pseudomonadati; Pseudomonadota; Gammaproteobacteria; Enterobacterales; Enterobacteriaceae. RNAcentral also lists the same sequence under 2 other names.